This 453-nucleotide ribosomal RNA is filed under the name Pseudosuccinea columella. RNAcentral describes it as "partial 16S ribosomal RNA". It matches the Rfam family "Bacterial large subunit ribosomal RNA", at positions 1806 to 2615 of the family's 2925-position model. Lineage: Eukaryota; Metazoa; Mollusca; Gastropoda; Lymnaeidae. The record is from RNAcentral.
AUCAAAAACAUAGCCCAAAGAUUUAUUUUGGGUAAAUUCUGCCCAGCGUAAUUUAUUAGCGGCCGCAGUACUUUGACUGUGCUAAGGUAGCAUAAUCAAUUGGCUUUUAAUUGUAGUCUGGAAUGAAAGGACUAAUAGGGGUUAGCUGUCUCUAUACUAUUAUUUUGAAUUUAUUUAUUAAGUGAAAAUACUUAUACAAAGAAAAAAGACGAGAAGACCCUUAGAAUUUUAAUAAAAUAUUUAAUAAUUUUUUUUUGUUGGGGCGACAUUGAAACAAUUAAACUUUCAUUAACAAUCAAGACAUUUAGGUUUGAAAGAAUAAAUUACCUUAGGGAUAACAGCAUAAUUAAUUAUUUAGUUUGUGACCUCGAUGUUGGACUAGGAACUAGAAGAUUAACCGUCUAAAUAGAUUGUUCUGUUCGAACAGAAAUUCCUACGUGAUCUGAGUUCAGA